UACAGAGGCCUCAAGCGUUGUUCGGAUUCAUUGGGCGUAAAGGGUGCGUAGGUGGCGCGCUAAGUCAGGUGUGAAAUUUCGGAGCUUAACUCCGAAACUGCAUUUGAUACUGGCGUGCUUGAGGACUGGAGAGGAGACUGGAAUUCCGGGUGUAGCGGUGGAAUGCGUAGAGAUCCGGAAGAACACCGGUGGCGAAGGCGGCCUGCUGGGCAGUGGCUGACACUGAGGCGCGACAGCGUGGGGAGCAAACAGG
Molecule: ribosomal RNA, 253 nt
Filed under: uncultured bacterium
Lineage: Bacteria
Description: partial 16S ribosomal RNA
Rfam family: Bacterial small subunit ribosomal RNA
Source: RNAcentral